RNAcentral lists this ribosomal RNA (994 nucleotides) under Plasmodium inui. Its description in RNAcentral is "SSU rRNA". It matches the Rfam family "Eukaryotic small subunit ribosomal RNA", at positions 162 to 1088 of the family's 1831-position model. The record is from RNAcentral. Lineage: Eukaryota; Apicomplexa; Aconoidasida; Haemosporida; Plasmodiidae.
AGCUAAUACUUGCUUUAGCACUCUUGAUUAAGUUCUUGAGUGUGUACUUGUUAAGCCUUUUAAGAAAAAAGUUAUUAACUUAAGGAAUUAUAACAAAGAAGCAACACGUAAAUGGAUUUUCCAUUUUUUAGUGUGUAUCAAUCGAGUUUCUGACCUAUCAGCUUUUGAUGUUAGGGUAUUGGCCUAACAUGGCUAUGACGGGUAACGGGGAAUUAGAGUUCGAUUCCGGAGAGGGAGCCUGAGAAAUAGCUACCACAUCUAAGGAAGGCAGCAGGCGCGUAAAUUACCCAAUUCUAAAGAAGAGAGGUAGUGACAAGAAAUAACAAUACAAGGCCAAUCUGGCUUUGUAAUUGGAAUGAUGGGAAUUUAAAACCUUCCCAAAACUCAAUUGGAGGGCAAGUCUGGUGCCAGCAGCCGCGGUAAUUCCAGCUCCAAUAGCGUAUAUUAAAAUUGUUGCAGUUAAAACGCUCGUAGUUGAAUUUCAAAGAAUCGAUAUUUUAAGUAGCACUUUGUAGAUUAAUCCACAUAACUGAUACUACGUAUCGACUUUGUGCGCAUUUUUCUACUUAUGUGUUCUUUUAAUUAAAAUGAUUCUUUUUAAGAUCUUUCUUUUUUGCUUCGGCAUUUUAGGAGAUCUUGUUACUUUGAGUAAAUUAGAGUGUUCAAAGCAAACAGAUUAUAGCAUCUUUAUGCGUUUGAAUACUACAGCAUGGAAUAACAAAAUUGAACAAGUCAGAAUUUUGUUCUUUUUUCUUAUUUUGGCUUAGUUACGAUUAAUAGGAGUAGCUUGGGGGCAUUUGUAUUCAGAUGUCAGAGGUGAAAUUCUUAGAUUUUCUGGAGACAAACAACUGCGAAAGCAUUUGCCUAAAAUACUUCCAUUAAUCAAGAACGAAAGUUAAGGGAGUGAAGACGAUCAGAUACCGUCGUAAUCUUAACCAUAAACUAUGCCGACUAGGCUUUGGAUGAAAUAUUUUAAAAUAAGAGUUUUUUCUCU